RNAcentral lists this ribosomal RNA (427 nucleotides) under uncultured bacterium. Its description in RNAcentral is "partial 16S ribosomal RNA". It matches the Rfam family "Bacterial small subunit ribosomal RNA", at positions 355 to 774 of the family's 1533-position model. The record is from RNAcentral.
UGGGGAAUAUUGCACAAUGGGCGCAAGCCUGAUGCAGCCACGCCGCGUGUGUGAAGAAGGCCUUCGGGUUGUAAAGCACUUUCAGCGAGGAGGAAGGGUAGUGUGUUAAUAGCACAUUGCAUUGACGUUACUCGCAGAAGAAGCACCGGCUAACUCCGUGCCAGCAGCCGCGGUAAUACGGAGGGUGCAAGCGUUAAUCGGAAUUACUGGGCGUAAAGCGCACGCAGGCGGUUUGUUAAGUCAGAUGUGAAAUCCCCGCGCUUAACGUGGGAACUGCAUUUGAAACUGGCAAGCUAGAGUCUUGUAGAGGGGGGUAGAAUUCCAGGUGUAGCGGUGAAAUGCGUAGAGAUCUGGAGGAAUACCGGUGGCGAAGGCGGCCCCCUGGACAAAGACUGACGCUCAGGUGCGAAAGCGUGGGGAGCAAACA